RNAcentral lists this ribosomal RNA (468 nucleotides) under uncultured bacterium. RNAcentral's name for it is "partial 16S ribosomal RNA". It matches the Rfam family "Bacterial small subunit ribosomal RNA", at positions 28 to 507 of the family's 1533-position model. The record is from RNAcentral.
GACGAACGCUGGCGGCGUGCUUAACACAUGCAAGUCGAACGGCAAGGCCCUGCUUUUGUGGGGUUCUCGAGUGGCGAACGGGUGAGUAACACGUGAGUAACCUGCCCUUGACUUUGGGAUAACUUCAGGAAACUGGGGCUAAUACCGUAUCGGAGCUCCUGCUGCAUGGUGGGGGUUGGAAAGUUUCGGCGGUUGGGGAUGGACUCGCGGCUUAUCAGCUUGUUGGUGGGGUAGUGGCUUACCCAGGCUUUGACGGGUAGCCGACCUGAGAGGGUGACCGGCCACAUUGGGACUGAGAUACGGCGCAGACUCCAACGGGAGGCAGCAGUGGGGAGUAUUGCACAAUGGGCGGAAGCCUGAUGCAGCGGCGCCGCGUGCGGGAUGACGGCCUUCGGGUUGUAAACCGCUUUCGCCUGUGACGAAGCGUGAGUGACGGUAAUGGGUAAAGAAGCACCGGCUAACUACGUG